GCUGCACCACCAGUCAUGGCAGCCACGGCGGCGUCUGCCGCGAGGGUCUUGCUCGGGGCAGCGGGGAACGCUGUGGCGGCUCCUGUUUCUUCUUCUUCUGCCGCCGCCGCCUCAGCUCGGCUUUGCGCCUGCUGCUGCAGCGGCGGCGGCGGCUUAAAGGCAAAUCCCUACUGCACGCUGGCCCCGCGGCAGCAACAGCAGCCCUCUGCUCCGCCUCCCGACAUGAAGAACUACCUGUGGAAGCGCUAUAACGAGGCCAAAAAAGUGACGAAAGACUUGGUCCCUUCAAUCAUGAGUAACUUGCUGAAUCCAGAUGCUAUCUUUUCCAACAAUGAAAUGAGUCUCUCAGACAUAGAAAUCUAUGGCUUUGAUUAUGACUACACGUUGGUCUUCUAUUCCAAGCAUUUGCACACAUUGAUCUUUAAUGCUGCCCGGGAUCUUUUGAUCAAUGAACAUCGGUAUCCUGCAGAAAUCCGGAAGUAUGACUAUGAUCCAAAUUUUGCAAUAAGAGGUCUACAUUAUGAUGUACAUCGGGCAUUAUUGAUGAAGAUAGAUGCUUUUCAUUAUAUUCAGUUAGGAACCGUAUACAGAGGACUCAGUGUUGUUCCAGAUGAAGAAGUCAUUGCCAUGUAUGAUGGGUCCCAUGUCCCCUUGGAACAAAUGAGCGACUUCUACGGGAAGAGUUCACAAGGUAACACUAUGAAGCAGUUCAUGGAUAUCUUCUCCUUGCCUGAGAUGACACUCCUCUCUUGCGUAAAUGAAUAUUUCCUGAAAAACAACAUAGACUAUGAGCCGGUUCAUCUCUACAAAGAUGUGAAGGACUCAAUCAGAGAUGUCCACAUCAAAGGAAUAAUGUAUCGUGCAAUUGAAGCGGAUAUUGAGAAAUAUAUUUGCUAUGCUGAGCAGACGCGUGCUGUGCUAGCAAAGUUGGCAAAUCAUGGCAAGAAGAUGUUCCUCAUUACGAACAGUCCUAGCAGCUUUGUGGAUAGAGGUAUGAAGUUUAUUGUUGGAAAAGACUGGAGGGAUCUCUUUGAUGUGGUCAUUGUCCAGGCUGACAAGCCAAACUUUUUCAAUGAUAAGAGAAGACCUUUCCGCAAAGUGAAUGAAAGAGGGGUUUUACUUUGGGACAAAAUUCAUGAACUGCGGAAAGGACAUAUCUACAAACAGGGUAACUUGUAUGAAUUUCUGAAACUGACUGGCUGGAGGGGUUCUAAAGUGUUGUAUUUUGGUGAUCAUAUUUACAGUGAUCUAGCAGAUUUGACCUUAAAGCAUGGCUGGCGAACAGGUGCAAUUAUUCCAGAGUUACGAACAGAGAUUAAGAUCAUGAACACAGAACAGUAUAUUCAGACCAUGACCUGGCUGCAAACCCUCACCGGAUUACUGGAACACAUGCAGGUUCACGGGGAUCCUGACUCUCAGCUGAUUUUGCAUGAGUGGAAAAGGGAAAGAAAGGAAAUGAGAGAAAUGACCAGGAACUUCUUCAACUCUCAGUUUGGAAGCUUAUUCAGGACUGACCAGAACCCAACUUAUUUCUUAAGACGCUUGUCUCGCUUCGCUGAUAUUUACAUGGCGUCGUUGAGUUGUCUUUUGAACUAUGAACAUGAUUACACAUUUUAUCCAAGGAGGACUCCUUUGCAGCAUGAACUCCCAACGUGGUCAGACCAGCUGUGCACUGGUACAUUCAGAAUACCAUUUCUGCAAGAGAUGAUUCAGAUCAAAUAAGUUCCCCUUCCACCCUACUUUUUAUAAUGUCAAUCAUUCACCAUUUUCCUCCCAACCCCUGGGGCUCCGCAGAGUAAAGAAAUAAUUUGGUCCCCCAAAUCCUGGGCAGGUAAAUGUUUAUUGCUGUGUGUUACACGUCUGUAAGCAUUUCUCUGUAUGUGAGAGUUUGCAGUUGCAUUGAUAUAUUUCUGAGUUGUACGUUGCAUAAUUUUUAAGAACAACUUGCUGGCAUGACUUUAUGUUGCCCCAGAUUUCAGUUAUUUGAAACAAGACUUCGAAGUAGGGCUGAGAUGAAAUUUCUCCUGGUUCUCUUUCUGCUUUGGAGGCUGUGACUUCAGGGGUUAAACCCCAUGAAAUCCUUAAUCAAGCCACUGAUGCUUCUCCCACCUCCCUGCUAUUCCCCCCAUCCCCCUUUUCAUUCACCCUUGAGUGAUCCCAACCAGGGAUCAUGCAGUGAAUGUGAUUUUGCAAGUACAAAGUAACCCGUUGGAUUAAUCUUUGUACUGAUAUCAUGAAGAGCAAAUAAAGCUAUUUAGGUUGAGGGCAGUGCUUUCUAUACUGGUCAUAUGGGCAAUCCUAGCCAGUCAUUCUAAUACAUUUUUUUUGCAUCCCUUUCAUAGUGGCCACCCCCACAAAGAACACAGAAAGGAACUCCCCUUUUGACACUAAAGGUCUUCAUGGAAUGUGUCCCCCACUUUUGACUCAGCCCUUCUUCUGAAUUCUCUGAAAUGCUGAUCACCCUAUUGCCUAAUGGUGAUCUUGUAUGCUUGAGAGGCUUGAGCUUGUAUUUCAGUGUUGCUGGGAUGUUAAGUAUUUUAUGCCUCUGCAUAUUACACUUGACACGCAAUGCAUGGUUUCCACUGACUGUUUUAAUGCUCUUUGCUAGAGAGAAUAAGACCCCGUCAAGUCAUUGGCCAAGAUGUGUCAAAAACACAUCUUACCUCUGUUUUGUUGCCUACUUUUAAAACAACACAACACUCAAAAAUGAGCAAUUCAGAGGACAGGACUGAUGGCUAAUAAAGGUUAAAACAGGGGUCAGUAUUACUUGAAACGCAUCUAGCACUCCUCAUAGCCCUUUUAAAGACUGUUCAAGAUGUUAAAUGAUAUAUAUUCUGAAAAUAAUAAUAUAAAAUAGUCAAAAGGUUUUCCAGAACUCUUAGCCUACAUUAUCCAGUGUUGUGAAUUUAGUUAAAUGUGGUGUGUUUCUCCUCCACACACUGACAGUUUUGAGAACUGUUUUGUAGAAAGGCUCUUCUGUUGCAGAAUAAAAACGUGAUUUUUCUUUGUAUAAAGUAUGUUAUCUGGUGCUGAUUGAUGCUACAUAUUUUUCUGCAUACUAUAUUGUAAAAUGUUUUGCAUGAGAAGUGAUUGGGGGACACCAUUGCACAAACAGCUUCAUACUAAUUUGUAAGAAAACUUUCAGACUAUUAUUUGUUGUUCUUGGUGUUACUAGUGCUGAUAUAUAUUUUAAUGUAGUCCCUUCUAAGUUAUGAAAUGUAACACGUGUAAUUUCCUUGAUAUUGUGCCAUGUGGACUUCUGUCAGUAUAUCUGAACACCAAAAACCAGACAAGCGGUUCAUUUCUCAAAAAGCUGGAAGGCCAAAACAAAAUAAUCUCAUUCUUGAGAUGGAGCUUCUGAUCAGGUCAACUUUUUUUUUUUUUUUUGUAUCUGAAAAGAUGAAUCUUUUAUUGUUAACUUACUUACCAAUAAAUGUCUUGUCCCAUU
Elgaria multicarinata webbii is the source of this 3448-nucleotide RNA transcript. It is a transcript of the gene named 5'-nucleotidase domain containing 3, with no coding region annotated. The record is from RefSeq and is a predicted model, not a curated record. Lineage: Eukaryota; Metazoa; Chordata; Lepidosauria; Squamata; Anguidae. The transcript is spliced from 15 exons.